UUAGGUUCUUCAUUGUCCGGGUAACACACCUAUAGGGAAAAGAGAGAGCUACCGAUGAUGUCGAAACAACAUAUCUGUAAACUACAGUGGUGGAGCAAUGCGAUUUUGGUGACGACAAGCUCAAUCGUGGUGGUUGCGAAUCCGGUCACUGAUCUCUGUUGCAGUUAUGUUGAUGCCCUUAAGUUGUUGUUGUUGGGUUUGUGGUGGGUCAUAUUUACCCCGAAGCACAGAGUGUGGGGCUGAGCAGUGCAACCAUAGAGUUUCUGAAAGGUGUCUUUAAAUUGUUAGACACAGAUAAGGUAUUUUAUGUGUUAGAGCUUAUGCGUCGAAGUCGGUGUUGAUGCAAUUUUCAGUUGAUUCACUAUUGCUGUUGUGGUUUAAUCACAAAGAUCAAAGUACGUUACCGUCGGGAAACUACUCAGGUACGAUGUCAUUG
Vicia villosa (hairy vetch) is the source of this 436-nucleotide long non-coding RNA. RefSeq lists it as uncharacterized. The record is from RefSeq and is a predicted model, not a curated record. The transcript has 4 exons. Lineage: Eukaryota; Viridiplantae; Streptophyta; Magnoliopsida; Fabales; Fabaceae.